CGAAGGGCUAGCGUUGCUCGGAAUGACUGGGCGUAAAGGGCGCGUAGGCGGCACACACAGUCAGGCGUGAAAUUCCUGGGCUUAACCUGGAGGCUGCGUUUGAGACGUGUGAGCUAGAGGAUGGAAGAGGCUCGUGGAAUUCCCAGUGUAGAGGUGAAAUUCGUAGAUAUUGGGAAGAACACCGGUGGCGAAGGCGGCGAGCUGGUCCAUUACUGACGCUGAGGCGCGAAAGCGUGGGAGCAAACAGGAUU
This 251-nucleotide ribosomal RNA is filed under the name uncultured bacterium. RNAcentral's name for it is "partial 16S ribosomal RNA". It matches the Rfam family "Bacterial small subunit ribosomal RNA", at positions 528 to 779 of the family's 1533-position model. The record is from RNAcentral.